UCUGGUUGAUUUUGCCAGUAGUUAUACGCUCGUCUCAAAGACUAAGUUAUGCACGUCUAAGUAUAAAUAUUUUAUUUUGAAAUUGUGAAUGGCUCAUUAUAUCAGUUAUAGUCUAUUUGAUAGUCCCUUACUACUUGGAUAACCGUAGUAAUUCUAGAGCUAAUAUAUGUGUUAAUAUUUAUUUGGGUGGUAUUUAUUAGAUGGAAACCAACCCCUUUGGGGUGAUGUGGUGAUUCAUAAUAAGUUUGCGGAUCGCACGGCUCGUCCGGCGACGGAUCAUUCAAGUUUCUGCCCUAUUAGUUUUGGACGGUAAGGUAUUGGUUUACCGUGGUUUUAAUGGGUAACAGGGAAUUAGGGUUUGAUUUUGGAGAGGGAGCCUGAGAGAUGGCUACCAUAUCCAAGGAAGGUAGUAGGCGCGUAAAUUACCUAAUUUUGAAAUAAGGAGGUAGUGAUAAUAAAUAACAAUGCCGGGCCUUUGUAGGUCUGGCAAUUGGAAUGAGAACAAUUUAAAUCCUUUAUUGAGGAUCAAUUGGAGGGCAAGUCUGGUGCCAGUAGUUGUGGUAAUUCCAGCUUCAAUAGCGUAUAUUAAAGUUGUUGCAGUUAAAAAGCUCGUAGUUGGACUUGUGCGUGCCCCUGAUGUCCUUUUUGGUACGUUUGGGGGCGUGCAUCCUUGGGUGGAACCUGUGUGGCAUUAGGUUGUCGUGCAGGGGAUGCUCAUCGUUUAUUGUGAAAAAAUUAGAGUGUUCAAAGUAGGUUUAUGCCGUUGAAUAUAUUAGUAUGGAAUAAUAAGAUAGGACCUUGGUACUAUUUUGUUGGUUUGCGCACCGAGGUAAUGAUUAACAGGGACAGUUGGGGGUAUUCGUAUUCCAUUGUUAGAGGUGAAAUUCUUGGAUUUUUGGAAGACGAAUUACUGUGAAAGUAUUUACCAAGGAUGUUUUCAUUAAUCAAGAACGAAAGUUAGGGGAUCGAAGAUGAUUAGAUAUCAUCGUAGUCUUAACCAUAAACUAUGCCAACAAGGGAUCGGCGGGGUUUUUGUUAUGUCUCCGUCGGCACCUUAUGAGAAAUCACAAGUUUUUGGGUUCCGGGGGGAGUAUGGUCGUAAGGCUGAAACUUAAAGAAAUUGACGGAAGGGCACCACCAGGAGUGGAGCCUGCGGCUUAAUUUGAUAAUAUGGGAAAAUUUAUUAGGUUUAGAUAUAGUGAGGAUUGAUAGAUUGAGAGUUUUUUUUGAUUUUAUGGGUGGUGGUGUAUGGCCGUUUUUAGUUGGUGGAGUGAUUUGUUUGGUUAAUUCCGUUAACGAAUGAGAUUCCUGCCUGUUAAAUAGUUUAGUGAGUGAUUUUUAUUGGCUAGAGUUUUUUAGAGGGAUGUGCUC
Molecule: ribosomal RNA, 1371 nt
Filed under: metagenome
Description: SSU rRNA
Rfam family: Eukaryotic small subunit ribosomal RNA
Source: RNAcentral